AUGCAGCCGCGGCCCCUGGCGGCGGCGGCGGUGGCCGCCACCGCGCCUUUCCCGCCGUCAUGGGCGCACCAGGUCCGCGGCGCGGCGACCCAGGGGGACUUCCACCACGCCAUCGCCCUCUUCCUCCGGAUGCGCGCCGCCGACGCCCCCGCCGCGCCCCGCUCCGCCGUCCCGGCGUCCCUCCCGGCCGCGCUCAAGUGCUGCUCCGCCCUCGGCCUCCCCGCCCUCGGCGCGUCCCUCCACGCGCUCGCGCUCCGCUCCGGCGCCUUCGCCGACCGCUUCACCGCCAACGCGCUCCUCAACCUCUACUGCAAGCUCCCUGCGGCGCCGUGCCGCUCCCCCGGGACGGAAGACGCGGCAGGGGAGUCGUUGGAGAGCAUGCGGAAGGUGUUCGACGAAAUGACCGAGAAGGACCCCGUGUCCUGGAACACGCUGGUGUUCGGGUAUGCGGAGAAGGGGAGGCACCAAGAGGCUCUGGUAGUGCUCAGGGAGAUGUGGAUAGAUGGGUGCAAGCCAAACUCGUUUACCUUGUCGAGUGUGCUGCCGAUCUUCGCCAAGUGCUCCGACGUCAGGAGGGGAAUGGAAGUCCAUGGCUUUGCAACCAGGAACGGUUUUGUUGAUGAUGUGUUCGUUGGCAGCAGCUUGAUCGAUAUGUAUGCGAACUGCACUCGAACGGAUUACUCGGUCAAGGUGUUCGACAGUCUCCCGUGCCGCGAUGCUAUCCUGUGGAACUCAAUGCUUGCGGGGUGUGCACAGAAUGGGUCUGUGGAGGAGGCUCUUCGAAUAUUUCGCCGGAUGCUGCAUUCUGGAGUUAGACCUCUGCCUCGUACUUUCUCGAGCCUCUUACCUGCCUGUGGAAAUGUUGCUUCGCUGCUUCUCGGCAAGCAGCUGCAUGCGUACGUCAUCUUUGGAGGGUUUGACGGUAAUAUGUUCAUAUCUAGCUCCCUGAUUGACAUGUAUUGCAAAUGUGGAAACGUGAGCAUAGCUCGUCACAUCUUUGAUCGAAUGCAGUCACCUGAUACUGUAUCCUGGACUGCGAUGAUCAUGGGACAUGCUUUACAUGGUCCAGCAAGAGAGGCUCUGUUGUUGUUUGACAGGAUGGAGUUGGGAAAUGUGAAGCCUAAUCAUAUCACGUUUAUAGCCGUUUUAACUGCGUGCAGUCAUGCUGGAUUGGUGGACGAGGGCCGGAAGUAUUUCAACAGAAUGUCGGACCAUUACGGCAUUGUUCCCUCUCUUGAGCAUUAUGGAGCACUUGCAGAUAUUCUUGGCCGUGCAGGGGAGUUGGAAGAAGCCUACAAUUUCAUCUCUAAGAUGCAAAUAAAACCAACCGCAAGUGUCUGGUCCACGUUGUUAAGGGCUUGCAAGGUCAACAAAAAUACCGUGUUAGCUGAAAAAGUUGCCAAGAAAAUCUUUGAGCUUGAACCUAGGAGCAUGGGAUCUCAUGUAAUUUUAUCAAAUACGUAUUCCUGUUCCGGGAGAUGGAAUGAAGCAGCACACCUGCGGCUAUCUAUGAGAAAGAAGGGCAUGAAGAAGGAACCAGCUUGCAGUUGGAUUGAAUUGAAGAACAAACGGCAUGUUUUUGUAGCUCAUGAUAAGUCUCAUCCUUGGUAUGAAAGGAUUAUUGGUGCACUUAAUGUUUUCUCAGAGCAGAUGGCACGUCAAGGUUAUGUUCCCAAUACAGAGGAUGUUUUCCAGGAUCUUGAAGAAGAGCAGAAGAGCGGUGUGUUAUGUGGUCACAGUGAAAAACUUGCUAUGGUAUUUGGUAUUUUAAAUACACCUCCUGGAACAACAGUUCGUGUGAUGAAAAAUCUUCGAAUUUGUGUUGACUGCCACACGGUAACAAAAUUUAUUUCAAAGAUAGCUGAGAGAGAGAUUGUUAUGCGUGAUGCAAACCGUUUCCACCAUUUUAAGGAUGGAAAUUGUUCUUGCGGUGACUUUUGGUGA
Molecule: ribosomal RNA, 1944 nt
Filed under: Triticum aestivum (bread wheat)
Lineage: Eukaryota; Viridiplantae; Streptophyta; Magnoliopsida; Poales; Poaceae
Description: partial small subunit ribosomal RNA
Source: RNAcentral